GAUGAACGCUGGCGGCGUGCCUAAUACAUGCAAGUCGAGCGAACAGACCAGGAGCUUGCUCCUCUGACGUUAGCGGCGGACGGGUGAGUAGCACGUGGAUAACCUACCUAUAAGACUGGGAUAACUUCGGGAAACCGGAGCUAAUACCGGAUAAUAUAUUGAACCGCAUGGUUCAAUAGUGAAAGACGGUUUUGCUGUCACUUAUAGAUGGAUCCGCGCCGCAUUAGCUAGUUGGUAAGGUAACGGCUUACCAAGGCAACGAUGCGUAGCCGACCUGAGAGGGUGAUCGGCCACACUGGAACUGAGACACGGUCCAGACUCCUACGGGAGGCAGCAGUAGGGAAUCUUCCGCAAUGGGCGAAAGCCUGACGGAGCAACGCCGCGUGAGUGAUGAAGGUCUUCGGAUCGUAAAACUCUGUUAUUAGGGAAGAACAAAUGUGUAAGUAACUAUGCACGUCUUGACGGUACCUAAUCAGAAAGCCACGGCUAACUACGUG
RNAcentral lists this ribosomal RNA (497 nucleotides) under uncultured bacterium. Its description in RNAcentral is "partial 16S ribosomal RNA". It matches the Rfam family "Bacterial small subunit ribosomal RNA", at positions 28 to 507 of the family's 1533-position model. The record is from RNAcentral.